RNAcentral lists this long non-coding RNA (322 nucleotides) under Homo sapiens (human). RNAcentral describes it as "HSALNT0242527". Lineage: Eukaryota; Metazoa; Chordata; Mammalia; Primates; Hominidae. The record is from RNAcentral.
GGAUGACUAACUGCCCAGCUGAAUGAUAACGGUUGUAUAUAUUUGAACAUGAAGGUGCUAUAUCUCUUGGGAGAGCUAGAGAACAUCUGAAAGUGAGUGUUGUUACAAUUGUGGCCUAAAGGUAACUGCUUCCAUACCUGGGUUUUAUUCAUCCACAAAUUGGGUGAGGACCUGUCUCAACUCUCCUGAACUUAGGAAGUAGACUCUGGAGAAAGAGACUGUGUGUGUUCCUCCUCAUACUUACGUCUGGCUUUGAGGUGAGCUUUUGGCUCUCUCUAAAUCAGAACAGUUUCACUUGGAGUUAGAUUUUCAUGAUUCAGCC